UGGGGGCCUUUAGGAAGGGGUUGGGGGGGUCUAAGGGAGUCUAAGGGGAUUUGGGGGGGUCUAAAGGGAAUUGGGGGGGUCUUUGGGGGUCUUGAGUGUCUUUUUGGGGUCUUUUUGGGGUUUUUUGUGGUCUUUUUGGCUCUUUUUGGGUCUUUUAGAGGUCUUUUUGUCGUUUCUGAGUGUCUUUUUGGGGUCUUUUCUGGGUAUUUUGGGGUCUUUUGGGGGUUUUUUGGUGUCUUUUUGGGUCUUUUGGGGUCUUUUUGGUGUAUUUUUGGGUCUUCUAGGGUCUUUUAGGGUCUUUUAGGGUCUUUUUAGGGGUCUUUUAGGGUCUUUUUGGUGUAUUUUUGGUCUCUUUUUGGGUCUUUUUGAGGUCUUUUUGGGGUUUCUGAGUGUCUUUUUGGGGUCUUUUUGGUUUUUUUGGGGGUCUUUUGGGGUUUUUCAUCUCUUUUUGGGUCUUUUUGGGGUCUUUUUGGUGUAUUUUUGGGUCUUUUAGGGUCUUUUUGGGGUCUUUUUGGUCUCUUUUGGGGUCUUUUGGUGUAUUUUCGGGUCUUUUUGGUGUAUUUUUGGGUCAUUGUGGGUCAUUUUGUGUCUCUUUGUGUCCGUACUGACGCUGUCCCCGCAGACACCUGGACUUUGACCUGGACAAAACCCUUUUCUUCUUCAUCGCGGGUCGUUACGAAUUCUCCAACAAAGGGGCCGACAUCUUCCUGGAGGCGCUGGCGCGGCUCAACUACCUGCUCAGGGGGGAACCUCCCCGACAUGAACAAGAUGUUGGACAGGGAGGAUUUCACCAUGAUGAAACGGGCCAUAUUCGCU
Molecule: long non-coding RNA, 816 nt
Filed under: Coturnix japonica (Japanese quail)
Lineage: Eukaryota; Metazoa; Chordata; Aves; Galliformes; Phasianidae
Description: lncRNA (ENSCJPG00005001675.1)
Source: RNAcentral